UAAACUACGAUUAGAUACCCUAUUAUUUUAAAAGUUAAAUAUUAACAGUACUUAAGUAGUAGUAGUUAUGAGCUUGAAACUUAAAGAAUUUGGCGGUGUUUUAGUCUCUUCAGAGGAACCUGUCCCAUAAUCGAUAGUCCACGUUAUACCUAACUUGAUUUAGUUUUCAGCUUGUAUACCGCCGUCGUCAGAAUGUCCUUGAAGGGUUUAAAUUUUCUUGAAUUUUAAUUAAAAAUGAUGUCAGGUCAAGGUGCAGUUUAUGGUCAAGAGGAGAUGGGUUACAAUAAAUAUAUUUAUAUGGAUAAUGGUAUGAAAUUACUAUUAGAAGGUGGAUUUGAUAGUAAAAUUUUAAAUUAAAGUAAUUUGAUUUUAGCUCUAAAACAUGCACACAUCGCCCGUCGCUCUUA
Molecule: ribosomal RNA, 407 nt
Filed under: Megaleuctra kincaidi
Lineage: Eukaryota; Metazoa; Arthropoda; Insecta; Plecoptera; Leuctridae
Description: partial 12S ribosomal RNA
Rfam family: Microsporidia small subunit ribosomal RNA (bases 54-407)
Source: RNAcentral